GUGUCCACUUUGGCAACACAUAUACUAAAAUUGGAACGAUACAGAGAAGAUUAGCAUAGCCCCUGUGCAAGGAUGACAUGCAAAUUCAUGAAGCGUUCCAUAUUUUU
Molecule: small nuclear RNA, 107 nt
Organism: Dipodomys ordii (Ord's kangaroo rat)
Lineage: Eukaryota; Metazoa; Chordata; Mammalia; Rodentia; Heteromyidae
Source: Ensembl